CAGUCCGUAGUCCUAGAUUCUAUCCCGGAUCAUUCGCGGUGCUGAAGAUGCGAUGGGGUAUCCUCCGGUCAGCAAGCUUCUAUCUGAUAGAUGUUCAAACAGUAGUGUGGAACCAUCGGCUUUGUGGACCAAAAAAAAAAGGAUUAUCUUGCAAGUGCAAUGUGGGGCGACAGAAAUAAUGGCUAAGCUUGAGUUAUGUAAACCUUUGGGUUAUGUAUUGUUUAGUAUGGACAUAUUUAUCUUUUCGUUGUUGGAUCA
Molecule: non-coding RNA, 258 nt
Organism: Salvia hispanica
Lineage: Eukaryota; Viridiplantae; Streptophyta; Magnoliopsida; Lamiales; Lamiaceae
Source: RefSeq, a predicted model, not a curated record